AUGAAGCUCAUCUGCGACUUCCCGUCGCCAAAGUCCCUGCCGGACAAGUACGUGUUGCCGCCGGAGAAACGCCCUUGCAACCACGAGCUACAAGGCGACCUCUCAGUCGCUCUCCCCGUCAUCGACCUCCAAGGAGCUCUUGGAGAUGGCCGGCGACAGGUCAUUGGCGAGAUAAUGGAGGCCGGCAAGGAGUUUGGCUUCUUCCAGGCGGUGAACCACGGUGUGGGGGAAGACGUGAUCCAGGGCUUCCGGGAAGCGGCGGCAGAGUUCUUCAGGAUGCCGGCGGAGGCAAAACUCAAGCACUACUCCAACGAGCACAACAAGCAUUGCCGGGUCUUCUCCGGCUCCGUCACGUCCCACACUGACACCAACGACAUCCGCUACUGGCGCGACUGUCUCAAGCUCCGGUGCUACCCGGUCGACAAGCUGAUGCACCAUUGGCCAUCACAGCCAGAAACAUUUCGGGAGCGUCUUGCCAAGUACGCCGUGGCAGUGCAAGAGCUGGCACAAAGGCUCCUGCGACUCAUCGCGGAGGGGCUCGGCUUGGACAGUCGAUUCUUCGAGGGCGACCUCACCGGCGGGGAGACGAUGAUGAACGUGAACUACUACCCGCGAUGCCCCGACCCGAGCCUCACGCUGGGCAUCCGGCCGCAUUCGGACCGCUACAUCCUCACGGUCCUGUCACAGGGCGACGUCAGUGGUUUACAGGUGAAGCACAAGGGACGCUGGAUCGGUGUCCAACCCAUGCACAACGCGUUUGUUGUCAACUUUGGGCUUCAGCUGGAGAUGGUGACCGACGGGGUGCUCACAAGCGUGGAGCACCGGGUGGUGACCAACUCGGCCAAGGCGAGGAUGUCGGUGGCAACGCUUAUCAGGCCGAAUAUGGGCUCCAGGAUUGGUCCGGCGCCGGUGAUGGUGAAUGGAGAGACCAACCAUCGUCCUAAGUAUAGGGACUUCACGGGGAGCGAGCUCAUCGAGGCGUAUGAGGCCACUGCGGGAAAUAGGGAGGCCCUGCUUGAAAUGUUCAGGAUCCAUCACGCCAAGUAG
This 1047-nucleotide ribosomal RNA is filed under the name Triticum aestivum (bread wheat). Its description in RNAcentral is "partial small subunit ribosomal RNA". The record is from RNAcentral. Lineage: Eukaryota; Viridiplantae; Streptophyta; Magnoliopsida; Poales; Poaceae.